This 445-nucleotide long non-coding RNA is filed under the name Salvia miltiorrhiza (redroot sage). RNAcentral describes it as "long non-coding RNA (SMIL_LNC012709)". The record is from RNAcentral. Lineage: Eukaryota; Viridiplantae; Streptophyta; Magnoliopsida; Lamiales; Lamiaceae.
GGGAUCAUCGUCAUCAUCGAAGGUUCAUGUCAUAAAAUGAAUCCCGAUUAGAAACUCAACGACAAAAACUCAUGCCUCAACUCAUGCUCUAUAUUAUAUUCUAUCUCUUAACCAACUCUACAUAAACUCUUUACUCAUUUCAAAUCCUUAAGUCCAAGGAUAGGAUUCAAGAAAAUCAUGGUUCUAGGUCUCGAUUCAUCUCUCAUAUAAGACUCGUCUAAUCUCAUUCAAACACUUAGGCAACACAAUCACAUAAGGCACAUAAGAAAAUACCAUCAAACAUCAUCAAGACAUGUUCUGUUUUUACACAGACUCGACUUCAAACUUUAACACGUUCUGACUCCGACAUCCCCUGGACUCCAGACUCAUACCAAAAGAAAGGUAUGUGAGUCUAGUUUCAUUUAAAAAAAAGUAGAGUCAGAAACUCCAAGUGGUUUGGGAGAUA